AUGCAUCGGCCGCCAUGGACGGGAGCUCGGCUCCCUCACCGAGCGCCCCUGGCCACGUCCCUGCGCUGCCUGCUCGCGCACGCGCCGUGCCCUGGCCUCACUGCCGCGCACCCGCGCCGGCCACGCCCGCGCCGCUCGCGCGUACGGCCGCGCCCGCCGGACGGCUCCGACGGCCGCCGCGUCCUGCUGCUGCUCUGGCCGCCCCGUUCACCUAGCCUCGCGUCACCGCUGGCUGACGCUGCUCGUCCUGCCGCUGUCACCGCCGCCCUCUCCUGCGGUGCCUACGGCUGCUCUUGCCGCUGCCGCUUCUCCCUGCGGCUGCUUGCUUCUGCUCCUCUUACCUGCUGCCGCUCCUGCUGGCUACUAGCACCACUCCUGUCGCUGCAGUUUGCUGCUGCUGCUCUUCUUGCUGCGUUGGCUACUGCUGCUGCUGAUGUGCUACGCUGCUAA
This 450-nucleotide ribosomal RNA is filed under the name Triticum aestivum (bread wheat). RNAcentral's name for it is "partial small subunit ribosomal RNA". The record is from RNAcentral. Lineage: Eukaryota; Viridiplantae; Streptophyta; Magnoliopsida; Poales; Poaceae.